Molecule: long non-coding RNA, 1193 nt
Organism: Canis lupus familiaris (dog)
Lineage: Eukaryota; Metazoa; Chordata; Mammalia; Carnivora; Canidae
Exons: 3
Source: RefSeq, a predicted model, not a curated record
UUCUUUCUGCUGGAAAAAAACCCAAGCUGCAAGCGCUCACACAUGACUGAGGUGCGAAAUCUUUUUUCUCACUGAAUUUUCUGCCCUGGCCUCACUCCUCAGGGCUGUCUGUGCUGGGUGCGCUAAAUGCCAGGGGCAGGCCACCGCCGUCGCUGUCGAGGGAGAGAGGGAGAUGACCUGCACACUGUGUCCUGGCGUUUGAGAGAACACAAUGCAGCUUCUGUGUUUCUGUGGGAGGCAUGUGAGCCGGCCCCUGAAGCGGCAGGUGAGAAACCACUCUGUUAAGCCAAGUGAGUCUCCAGACUUCAGUGAGGACCCUCAGUGACCUUGGGGUCCCGGCUGAUGUGAGAAGAGGAGCCAGGGUCGCCAGGCCUGCCACUGCUUAGAGACAGGCUUCCUACCAACUUCUGGUUCUCAAACUGGUUUGAGGAAGAUUUCCUGCUGCUCCCCCAUCUGGAGACAGCCCAGCACUCCCCCAACCCACUGCCUACCUUCAGGAAGCUUCUUUCCUCUGUCUCUCUCUCCUCCCCAGACUUGGCCGUUUGAUGGGACUCCAGCUUCCUGACCAACUAGGGGCAAGACCUGGCCUUCGGGGUGACAUCCCAAUGGCGUGGACAGACUGGCUGCAAACCCCAAGAAGAUGCGGGUAGGACCAUCACUGUGGGAGACGGUGGCUGGGGCAUCUUGCUUUUGCCCAGCAUCCACACCUCUGCAAGGGGUGAGCGAGGUGAGAGCGAGCAGCCCCAGCAAUCAGAAGUGGUGGACAAGGAGAGCAGAGCCCUGUGCUUUGAGCCUGGGACCCAGGACGGGACAGGCUUUCUACCUGCAGAUGCUCCCCAGGAAGGAGAAAGACAGAAUCAGGUCUGCAACCAGGCAAAGUCUGGAUCCGAAUCUCUGCUGCCCGUUUAAUACCGGGUCACACGGUUUGGCCUGUUUCCCCAUCUGCAACACGCAGACUACAGAGCCCUGUUCCUGGAGGUGAUCAGGGCCCCAAGUGGGCCAGAGGCAAGCCACCAGCCCUUCACCUUGCAGAGCUAGGCUACAUGUGCAAUGGCCUCCUGGUGACUCCCCUCCCUGGCUGAUGGUGGGGGUGAGAGUGGGGGGUGGGGGACAAGGACUUCUUUGUGGCUGUUCCACGCCCUGAAUUACUGUAUAAAGGUUGUGUGGACAAGGCUAGAAAGAUUAAAUUUGAA